AAUAGAUACCCAGGUAGUCCACGCCCUAAACGAUGCUCACUAGGUGUUGGGGAAGCGAUUCCUUGGUACCGUAGCUAACGCGUGAAGUGAGCCGCCUGGGGAGUACGGCCGCAAGGUUAAAACUCAAAGGAAUUGACGGGGACCCGCACAAGCGGUGGAUGAUGUGGAUUAAUUCGAUGCAACGCGAACAACCUUACCUACCCUUGACAUGUCUGGAAGGCUGCUGAAAGGUGGCUGUGCCCGAAAGGGAACCGGAACACAGGUGCUGCAUGGCUGUCGUCAGCUCGUGUCGUGAGAUGUUGGGUUAAGUCCCGCAACGAGCGCAACCCUUGUCCCUAGUUGCUACGCAAGGGCACUCUAGGGAGACUGCCGGUGACAAACCGGAGGAAGGUGGGGAUGACGUCAAGUCCUCAUGGCCCUUAUGGGUAGGGCUUCACACGUCAUACAAUGGACGGUACAGAGGGUUGCCAACCCGCGAGGGGGAGCCAAUCCCAGAAAGCCGUUCGUAGUCCGGAUUGCAGUCUGCAGCUCGA
This 533-nucleotide ribosomal RNA is filed under the name uncultured bacterium. Its description in RNAcentral is "bacterial SSU rRNA". It matches the Rfam family "Bacterial small subunit ribosomal RNA", at positions 777 to 1315 of the family's 1533-position model. The record is from RNAcentral.